GACGAACGCUGGCGGCGUGCUUAACACAUGCAAGUCGAACGAAGUGGCGAACGGGUGAGUAACGCGUAUUCAACCUGCCCUUCAGAGGGGGAUAACAGUGGGAAACGACUGCUAAUACCUCAUACUGAAGGAGGUGAUUUCGUCUGAUUAGCUAGUUGGGGGGGUAACGGCCUACAAAGGCGACGAUAAGUAGCCGGUCUGAGAGGAUGAGCUGCCACACUGGGACUGAGACACGGCCCAGACUCCUACGGGAGGCAGCAGUGGGGAAUCUUCCGCAAUGGACGAAAGUCUGACCGAGCAACGCCGCGUGAGUGAAGAAGGUCUUCGGAUCGUAAAACUCUGUUGUUAGAGAAGCGGUAUCUAACCAGUAAGCAACGGCUAACUACGUGCCAGCAGCCGCGGUAAUUC
RNAcentral lists this ribosomal RNA (408 nucleotides) under uncultured bacterium. RNAcentral's name for it is "partial 16S ribosomal RNA". It matches the Rfam family "Bacterial small subunit ribosomal RNA", at positions 28 to 526 of the family's 1533-position model. The record is from RNAcentral.